This is a non-coding RNA of Pelobates cultripes (western spadefoot toad), 3837 nucleotides long. The record is from the annotation of a GenBank genome assembly. Lineage: Eukaryota; Metazoa; Chordata; Amphibia; Anura; Pelobatidae.
GGUAAAGUGACACAAAAGGUAAGGAUAGUUUUAUACUAAUGACAGUUGCAAAAGAGGAAACAGUCGGGAGCUAUUAACAGUUUAAUUGAUACGCUUUUAUGAAGAAGUGGGUUUUUAGUGCCUUAUGGGCUCACUGGCUUGUUGGUAAGUAGGUCAUGUAAAAGACAGAAUAAAAUAUAUAGUGUUCACAGAUGCCAAUAUAUGUUUGAUAAAAAAUAGGAGAGGUUCUCACAAGAAUGGAGCAAAUUGGUAUUGCUCACUACAUAGCACUCAGUUGGUAUUUUCCCCACCAAAGGAAUAUGUGGUCCCAUGUUUUACAAUGCACUGGGUCUCCUUGGAAGUAGGGGGAAAAGUAGUUGUAAUAAUUUAAGAUCGAUGUCUUAAACAAUUCUAUACUUCUACAAAAUGCCUAUGAGUCACAGUAAACUGACCUAAUUCUCUGCCACAAAGUGUCCUUGGAAGACCUUUGUGAAGGUUGGCAUUUGCAAUCUGCCACAAACUAAAUGCAGUGCAAAGUAAUGAAGCUGCCAUCUUCUAUAAAUCCAACUAAAGCCUAUUUACUUAUAUCAUCCCACGGAGGCAAAGAGCACUAACAUGACCAAGCACGCACAUUGUAAGUCAAAUCUAUUAGACAUGAACAGAAAAUAACAAUAGUAUGCAGAUAAAACAAUUUGCAAAAAAAGAUAAUAAAACAUAUUCAAUAUAUUUUGUUAUUAGUUGACAUACAUUUAAUGAUAAUAAUAAUAAUAUAUUUUCCUCCUCAAAUUUAUUUAUUGUUUUGGGGAUUAUACCAAAUCCGAUUUUAAAUAUAAAUCUUCCAUAUUGACCAGGGAUGGUUUAAUUAUGGGUGGAAAUGUCCAUUUUCUCCAGAAUGUAAGCCCUCGCCUCCAGAAUGCUUCACAACUGGUAGCUAGCCAUUACUUAAAGGACCACUAUAGUGCCAGGAAAACAUACUCGUUUUCCUGGCACUAUAGUGCCCUGAGGGUGCCCCCACCCUCAGGGACCCUUUCCCGCCCGGCUCUGGAAGGGGGAAAGGGGUAAAAACUUACCUUUUUCCAGCGCUGGGCGGAGAGCUCUCCUCCUCCUCUCCGCCUCCGUUACGCCCCGCCGGCUGAAUGCGCACGCGCGGCAAGAGCUGCGCACGCAUUCAGCCGGUCUCAUAGGAAAGCAUUUACAAUGCUUUCCUAUGGACGCUGGCGUGCUCUCACUGUGAUUUUCACAUUGAGAAGCACGCAAGCGCCUCUAGUGGCUGUCAAUGAGACAGCCACUAGAGGAUUAGGGGGAAGGCUUAACCCAUUCAUAAUUAUAGCAGUUUCUCUGAAACUGCUAUAAUUAUGAAAAAAUGGGUUAACCCUAGAAGGACCUGGCACCCAGACCACUUCAUUAAGCUGAAGUGGUCUGGGUGCCUAGAGUGGUCCUUUAAGUAGAACACUUUUUCCAGACAAGACUGCUAGGAAUGGAUACAAUGAGCAAUGAAGCAAGAAGCUUGAUCAUCGCCCCACUGUUCUAGCACAAAUUUAGUUAAAUAGUAAAUAGCAAAAAUUUAUUUUUACACUUCAGUAUUCUUGAAUGUAAUGGUACACAUUUAUUUUGUUGUGCUUUAAUAGUUCUUUGUGUUUGCAAUUAUUAACUUAAAAAAAAUGUAAAUUGUAAAUAACAUAAAAAAAUAUACAGUAUACAUAUUUAACUUAAAAAAAAUGUAAAUUGUAAAUAAACAUAUUAUUUGGUCAAAGUUUGGGUAACCCAAUUAAAACAUAUAUUUUAAAGAAAUUUUUUUUAAAAAAUUCUGUAUUUUAAAGAAAUUGAGGGUUAACUGCAGCCUAGCAAUAAGCUUAAUUCAAACAGGAGAAAUGAACUUCUCACCUUAGAGUGACCGAUGGAUAAAGAGUGACAUUAAUUCCUCUUUACUGACAGAUCAAUAAUGACAAGAAGAUUAAACAUGUGGUAGUGGAAAUUAAAGCUAAAGCAGGACUUUCAUAAUUGCAUUUAGAGGGAUUCAAGGAUAUACACUCACUAGAAUAGGUUUACCAAAAAUAAAACAUACAGAUAGAUAAAUAUAAAGUAAUUGCAUUACAGGCAAACAUUUUUUUCUUCUAAAGUUGUUUUGUAAAGUUCUAAAGAAAAAUGAAGUCUUCAGGUUCUCAUAAAAAACUUAAAGGACCAUGGGUUAUGCAUACUAUCAGAAGAAUAUAAAAUAAUUACAAACUCUCACAACCACUUUAACGAGCUUGCUAAAUUCACAAAUUCGUAUAAAUGGGUACUACCUAGUGAUGCUGAAAAAUUAUGAAAAGUUGUUAAUAACAAGUAAAAUAACACACAUUUCUAAUAAGACAUAUUAAUAAGAGAAAUGCUUUUAUUUGUAAGCCAUGUUUACAACUAGUGUUUGGUGGAUAGUAUCUAAUAUAGUCAGGUAUUAGAUCACUUGGGUCAGUUUUAGAGCACUUCACAUGAACAAAACCUGAUUUACCUGAAACGAAUACCUAAAUAGAUUAUUUUGAUUGCUUUAUAAAUACUCCAAAAGUGAUCUAAAAGCAUUUUCUUUAUAGUAAAUUAUACCAGUUUUCACAAACAUUUUCAUUUUAGGAGAUUGGCAGUGACAGAAAAAAAGAGAAGUGUGAAAGAGUGUGAAGAGAGAAUAAUUACAACAUCCUUAGUUCUGCAUAUGUACAGAUUCAAAGUGCACAUUGGCUGCUUAAAAGCUUUGUGAAUCUCUGCGGAAUAUAUUGGCGCGUUAUAGAUGCUAACAAUAAUAUUGAAAGGCAACAUGCUAACUUUAUAUACUCAGAAUUAUUGCACUUUGUAACUUAAACAUUUGUGGUUAUCCUUAUCCGUAUUUAUUUGUAAUUUUAUUUAGUGACAGUAUGUCAGUUUUGUUUAACAUUUGUGUACCACAGUGCUUUGCAUAUUGUCUGAAAGUGUUUGCCAUUUACUACAGUUACAAUCAAGUGGAAACUAUUGCAUCUGCAGAGCAUAGAUAAUAAUGUAAGAUAUAGUAUGAAGAAAUUAAAUACAUAUCUGGUGAAAAACCAAAAUGAAUAUUUAUUAUUUUAUGAAAAUAAUAAGUAGUAUACCUGUAAUUAAAGGGAAAAAAAUGAUGAGAAAACAAAUUCAAAGUUCAAAUUUAAUUUUUUUUAAAGGAAAUAAAAAUGGAGAGAAAACAAAUUCACAUUAUAGAGAACAAAGAUGAAAUAAAAAAAUAAGUGAUGUCUGAACAUGCCCAGGAUUGAACUCUCUUCAUUAAAUGCCUCACUAAUCCUUUUACUCAAACACAGUUGAGCGAUUGAGAAGAGGCUGUCCCUUGUCCUCUGAUGCAAGAGUCACCUAAGAGUUUAUAAAAGAAGAAGGACAUCUAUUUCCCAUCUUCAUUUUUGCUAAGGAAAAAAAGUAACAUUUACAGAUACGGUUAGUAAAGAAGGACAGAGAAAGAAUUAGCACACGCAAUUAACCUCACCAUGGGGAACAGUAAGAGUGGAGCUCUCUCCAAAGAAAUUCUUGAUGAUUUGAAAAUGAACACAAAGUAUUCAGAAGAAGAACUUUGUAAGUGGUAUGAAAGUUUUAAAAAGCAAUGUCCAGAUGGAAAGAUUUCCCGAACAGAAUUUGAGAAGAUCUAUACCAAUUUUUUCCCCAACUCGGACCCCAAGACAUACGCCAGGCAUGUUUUCCGUAGUUUUGAUACCAAUGAUGACGGCACAUUGGACUUCCGAGAGUACAUCAUUGCACUUCACCUUACCUCAUCUGGAAAAACUAGCCUCAAGUUAGAGUGGGCAUUUUCCUUGUUUGAUGUUGACAGAAAUGGUGAAGUCAGUAAAGUUGAAGUUCUUGAAAUUAUUACAGUAA